UCUCCCGUGAGGGAGCAGUCUCGCCUGACACUUGUAACAGGCAACGAGGGUUGCGUUCGUUUCCCCACUUAAGGGAACAGCUCAAGCCACGAACUGACGACGGCCAUGCAUCACCUGUCCUACACCCUCGAAGGCUUCCUCCCUUUCAGGAGGCGUGCAGUAGGAUUUCUAGCCCUGGUAAGGUUCCUCGCUUAGUGACGAAUUAAGCCCCAUGAUCCACCUCUUGUGCGAGCCCCCGUCUAUUCCUUUGAGUUUUAACCUUGCGGUCGUACUACCCAGGCGGUCCGCUUAAUGCGUUAGCUACGCCACGAAGAGGGUCGAUACUCCUCAUAGCUAGCGGACAACGUUUAGGGCGUGGACUAC
This 363-nucleotide unclassified non-coding RNA is filed under the name uncultured bacterium. RNAcentral describes it as "contains 16S-23S intergenic spacer region". The record is from RNAcentral.